UCGGGAAUUUUGGGCAAUGGGCGAAAGCCUGACCCAGCAACGCCGCGUGAAGGAUGAAGUAUUUCGGUAUGUAAACUUCGAAAGAAUAGGAAGAAUAAAUGACGGUACUAUUUAUAAGGUCCGGCUAACUACGUGCCAGCAGCCGCGGUAAUACGUAGGGACCAAGCGUUGUUCGGAUUUACUGGGCGUAAAGGGCGCGUAGGCGGCAAUUCAAGUCAUCUGUGAAAUCUCCGGGCUUAACUCGGAACGGUCAGAUGAUACUGCUUUGCUAGAGUGCAGAAGGGGCAAUCGGAAUUCUUGGUGUAGCGGUGAAAUGCGUAGAUAUCGGAAGGAACAUCGGUGGCGAAGGCGUCUACCUGGCCUAAUACUGACACUGAGGCACGAAAGCGUGGGGAGCAAACAGGAUUAGAUACCCAAGUAGUACCCUGAGCGGGCUGGCAAGGCGCAU
RNAcentral lists this ribosomal RNA (448 nucleotides) under uncultured bacterium. RNAcentral describes it as "bacterial SSU rRNA". It matches the Rfam family "Bacterial small subunit ribosomal RNA", at positions 355 to 825 of the family's 1533-position model. The record is from RNAcentral.